GAGCACGUAGGUGGGUUUGUAAGUCAGAUGUGAAAGCCUUCUGUUCAACGGGAGAAUUGCAUCUGAAACUACAGACCUUGAGUGUAGGAGGGGAGAAUGGAACUUCUGGUGGAGCGGUGAAAUGCGUAGAUAUCAGAAGGAACGCCGGCGGCGAAAGCGAUUCUCUGGCCUAUUACUGACACUCAGUGUGCGAAAGCUAGGGGAGCAAACGGGAUUAGAUACCCCGGUAGUCCUAGCCGUAAACGAUGGGCACUAAGUAGAGGGGUUUU
Molecule: ribosomal RNA, 269 nt
Filed under: uncultured bacterium
Lineage: Bacteria
Description: partial 16S ribosomal RNA
Rfam family: Bacterial small subunit ribosomal RNA
Source: RNAcentral